CCUCGGUGGCAGCAGUGGGGAAUAUUGGACAAUGGGCGAAAGCCUGAUCCAGCCAUGCCGCGUGUGUGAAGAAGGCCUUCGGGUUGUAAAGCACUUUCAGUGGGGAAGAAAGCCUUGGGGCUAAUACCCUCGAGGAAGGACAUCACCCACAGAAGAAGCACCGGCUAACUCCGUGCCAGCAGCCGCGGUAAUACGGAGGGUGCGAGCGUUAAUCGGAAUUACUGGGCGUAAAGCGCGCGUAGGCGGUCUGAUAAGCCGGUUGUGAAAGCCCCGGGCUCAACCUGGGAACGGCAUCCGGAACUGUCAGGCUAGAGUGCAGGAGAGGAAGGUAGAAUUCCCGGUGUAGCGGUGAAAUGCGUAGAGAUCGGGAGGAAUACCAGUGGCGAAGGCGGCCUUCUGGACUGACACUGACGCUGAGGUGCGAAAGCGUGGGUAGCAAACAGGAUUAGAUACCCCUGUAGUC
This 463-nucleotide ribosomal RNA is filed under the name Vreelandella stevensii. Its description in RNAcentral is "partial 16S ribosomal RNA". It matches the Rfam family "Bacterial small subunit ribosomal RNA", at positions 338 to 795 of the family's 1533-position model. The record is from RNAcentral. Lineage: Bacteria; Pseudomonadati; Pseudomonadota; Gammaproteobacteria; Oceanospirillales; Halomonadaceae.